This 65-nucleotide transfer RNA is filed under the name Dipodomys ordii (Ord's kangaroo rat). It matches the Rfam family "tRNA". From Rfam's summary of the family: Transfer RNA (tRNA) molecules are approximately 80 nucleotides in length. Their secondary structure includes four short double-helical elements and three loops (D, anti-codon, and T loops). Further hydrogen bonds mediate the characteristic L-shaped molecular structure. tRNAs have two regions of fundamental functional importance: the anti-codon, which is responsible for specific mRNA codon recognition, and the 3' end, to which the tRNAs corresponding amino acid is attached (by aminoacyl-tRNA synthetases). tRNAs cope with the degeneracy of the genetic code in two manners: having more than one tRNA (with a specific anti-codon) for a particular amino acid; and 'wobble' base-pairing, i.e. permitting non-standard base-pairing at the 3rd anti-codon position. Lineage: Eukaryota; Metazoa; Chordata; Mammalia; Rodentia; Heteromyidae. The record is from Rfam by way of RNAcentral.
GGUGGCUCAGUGGUAGAGUGCUUGCCUUGCAUGCAUGAGGACCUGGGUUCGAUUCCCCAGUACCA